Molecule: ribosomal RNA, 429 nt
Filed under: Gemmatimonadota bacterium
Lineage: Bacteria; Pseudomonadati; Gemmatimonadota
Description: Gemmatimonadetes bacterium partial 16S ribosomal RNA
Rfam family: Bacterial small subunit ribosomal RNA
Source: RNAcentral
UAGGGAAUCUUCGGCAAUGGACGAAAGUCUGACCGAGCAACGCCGCGUGAGUGAAGAAGGUUUUCGGAUCGUAAAACUCUGUUGUUAGAGAAGAACAAGGACGUUAGUAACUGAACGUCCCCUGACGGUAUCUAACCAGAAAGCCACGGCUACCUACGUGCCAGCAGCCGCGGUAAUACGUAGGUGGCAAGCGUUGUACGGAUUUAUUGGGUGUAAAGCGAGCGCAGGCGGUUUCUUAAGUCUGAUGUGAAAGCCCCCGGCUCAACCAGGGAGCGUCAUUGGAAACUGGGGGACUUGAGUGCAGGAGAGGAGAGUGGAAUUCCAUGUGUAGCGGUGAAAUGCGUAGAUAUAUGGAAGAACGCCAGUGGCGAAGGCGGCUCUCUGGACUGUAACUGACGCUGAGGCUCGAAAGCGUGGGGAGCAAACAGG